GUAUUGUCAUAACUUACGAACAGUAAUCUUUUGAUUUUGUCCUUCCUUCUGUUAUCUUGUGUCUUUUCCUCAUGACAGACAGGAAAUUAUGUGUGGCUUAGGAACUAAGGGCUUCGAGUCAGAUUUAUCCUUUAAAUUUCUGUUCACAAUACACUUGUAUCUUUCUUAUUGUCUUUCUAUGCAGUAAUCUUUUGAUUUUGUCCUUCCUUCUGUUAUCUUGUGUCUUUUCCUCAUGACAGACAGGAAAAUCAAAGCAUUUUGGCUUCAUAGAAUUUGAGUCCCCUGAGGUUGCUAAAGUGGUUGCGGAUACUAUGCAUAACUAUCUAUUGUUUGAGCACUUGUUGCAAGUUCGUCUUAUUCCUCCUGAACAUGUUCAUCCCAGAUUGUAAGAGUUUCAUUUUUUUAAAUGAAUUGUUAUGGAUUAAAUUCAUCUUGUAAUUUCAUAUUUUUUGGAUCGCUAAGUGGAAGAGCUCUUCAACGCUCUUUUCUUUUC
Long non-coding RNA from Nicotiana tabacum (common tobacco), 493 nucleotides. RefSeq lists it as uncharacterized. The record is from RefSeq and is a predicted model, not a curated record. NCBI's taxonomy places the organism in Eukaryota, Viridiplantae, Streptophyta, Magnoliopsida, Solanales, Solanaceae.